Molecule: long non-coding RNA, 149 nt
Organism: Homo sapiens (human)
Lineage: Eukaryota; Metazoa; Chordata; Mammalia; Primates; Hominidae
Exons: 2
Source: RefSeq, a predicted model, not a curated record
AGAGUAUUGAUUGCUAGUGCUUACUUCCAUGGGCACUCAAAAAAGCGCUUCAUAUUUACGGCUCCUUAUAACUUCAAAAGGACAGCAAGUGCUCUCUGGACAGAAUCACCACCCUGUAUGUACUUGAUAUUCUCCACAGUGCCAAAGAG